RNAcentral lists this ribosomal RNA (370 nucleotides) under uncultured bacterium. Its description in RNAcentral is "bacterial SSU rRNA". It matches the Rfam family "Bacterial small subunit ribosomal RNA", at positions 790 to 1167 of the family's 1533-position model. The record is from RNAcentral.
GUAGUCCACGCCGUAAACGAUGGAUACUAGCUGUUGGAAGCAAUUUCAGUGGCUAAGCGAAAGUGAUAAGUAUCCCACCUGGGGAGUACGAACGCAAGUUUGAAACUCAAAGGAAUUGACGGGGGCCCGCACAAGCGGUGGAGCAUGUGGUUUAAUUCGAUGAUACGCGAGGAACCUUACCAGGGCUUAAAUGUGGUCUGACAGGCGUGGAAACAUGCUUUUCUUCGGACAGAUCACAAGGUGCUGCAUGGUUGUCGUCAGCUCGUGCCGUGAGGUGUCAGGUUAAGUCCUAUAACGAGCGCAACCCCUGUUGCUAGUUGCCAGCGAGUCAAGUCGGGAACUCUAGCAAGACUGCCAGUGCAAACUGCGA